GUGGGGAAUAUUGGGCAAUGGGGGCAACCCUGACCCAGCAACGCCGCGUGAGGGAAGAAGGUUUUCGGAUUGUAAACCUCUGUCCUAUGGGAAGAAGGAAGUGACGGUACCAUAGGAGGAAGUCCCGGCUAACUACGUGCCAGCAGCCGCGGUAAUACGUAGGGGACGAGCGUUGUCCGGAAUUACUGGGCGUAAAGGGCGCGUAGGCGGUCAUUUAAGUCAGCUGUGAAAUGGUCCGGCUCAACCGGAUCAUGCGGUUGAAACUGGAUGACUGGAGUGCUGGAGAGGCAAGUGGAAUUCCCAGUGUAGCGGUGAAAUGCGUAGAUAUUGGGAAGAACACCGGUGGCGAAGGCGACUUGCUGGCCAGCAACUGACGCUGAGGCGCGAAAGCCAGGGGAGCAAACGGGAUUAGAUACCCGGGUAGUCC
RNAcentral lists this ribosomal RNA (427 nucleotides) under uncultured bacterium. RNAcentral's name for it is "partial 16S ribosomal RNA". It matches the Rfam family "Bacterial small subunit ribosomal RNA", at positions 354 to 796 of the family's 1533-position model. The record is from RNAcentral.